UACGAAGGGUGCAAGCGUUACUCGGAAUUACUGGGCGUAAAGCGUGCGUAGGCGGUUUGUUAAGUCCGCUGUGAAAGCCCUGGGCUCAACCUGGGAAUUGCAGUGGAUACUGGCAAGCUAGAGUGCGGUAGAGGAUGGUGGAAUUCCCAGUGUAGAGGUGAAAUUCGUAGAUAUUGGGAAGAACACCGAUGGCGAAGGCAGCCAUCUGGACCGACACUGACGCUGAGGCGCGAAAGCGUGGGGAGCAAACAGG
RNAcentral lists this ribosomal RNA (253 nucleotides) under uncultured bacterium. RNAcentral describes it as "partial 16S ribosomal RNA". It matches the Rfam family "Bacterial small subunit ribosomal RNA", at positions 524 to 776 of the family's 1533-position model. The record is from RNAcentral.